RNAcentral lists this ribosomal RNA (549 nucleotides) under uncultured bacterium. Its description in RNAcentral is "bacterial SSU rRNA". It matches the Rfam family "Bacterial small subunit ribosomal RNA", at positions 355 to 896 of the family's 1533-position model. The record is from RNAcentral.
UGGGGAAUUUUGGACAAUGGACGCAAGUCUGAUCCAGCCAUGCCGCGUGCGGGAAGAAGGCCUUCCGGGUUGUAAACCGCUUUUGUCAGGGAAGAAACGCUCUGGGCUAAUACCCUAGGGUAAUGACGGUACCUGAAGAAUAAGCACCGGCUAACUACGUGCCAGCAGCCGCGGUAAUACGUAGGGUGCAAGCGUUAAUCGGAAUUACUGGGCGUAAAGCGUGCGCAGGCGGUUAUGCAAGACAGAUGUGAAAUCCCCGGGCUCAACCUGGGAACUGCAUUUGUGACUGCAUAGCUAGAGUACGGUAGAGGGGGAUGGAAUUCCGCGUGUAGCAGUGAAAUGCGUAGAUAUGCGGAGGAACACCGACGGCGAAGGCAAUCCCCUGGACCUGUACUGACGCUCAUGCACGAAAGCGUGGGGAGCAAACAGGAUUAGAUACCCUGGUAGUCCACGCCCUAAACGAUGUCAACUGGUUGUUGGGAAGGUUCCUUCUCAGUAACGUAGCUAACGCGUGAAGUUGANCGCCUGGGGAGUACGGCCGCAAGGUUG